Molecule: RNA transcript, 2942 nt
Organism: Lolium perenne
Lineage: Eukaryota; Viridiplantae; Streptophyta; Magnoliopsida; Poales; Poaceae
Source: RefSeq, a predicted model, not a curated record
GCGACACAGCCACUGCUGCUGCGUGCGACGGUGCGAGGGAGGUGAAGGCGAGGCAUACGGUGCGAGGGAGAGAGAUUGCUUGUAGGGGAAGAAAGCAGCGUAGACUUCUCGCUUACCAAUCCCGAUCAGCGAGCGGCGGAGCGCUUGGCUUCUCAACUCCGGCCGGCAACCGCUACAGGCCUCUACGCUGCGCCGGGUGGUCGAUCGAACGCGCGGUGGAGCGGAAGCAUUGCUCAGCAGAGCCCGUCAUCUACGGCGGCAGCGGCGGGUUGCACACGAAUUGAGCACUGGACCAGGCAUAUCAGUCAGGGAAGCAACUUCUGAAUUGUGGCCAUCCCCAUUUUCCAGAGAGUAUCCAGAAUGUGGGUCCGUGUGUUCGCCAUCCUUCUGUUCGCCUCCCAAGUCUUAUCUGCCAAACUUGAUGCUCGCGAUGUGGUGGGGAGUUGUCGCUACGAGAAGACUAGUGUUGCUGUGCUCACUUGCCUACAACCGGGUGGGAAAUGGAGUCCGCCAUCAACGGCAUGCUGCAAGGCGUUGCUGUAUGCCAUUGAUCAGUUACCGGGAAGUGGUGAGAGCGGAGCGUGCUGCCUGUGCCGUCAGGGAAAGGACAAGCAUAUUGUUAAUGUUAACAGAUGGACGUUUCCUUUCACAUCAUGCUAUCGAGUUUGUCCAGGUAACAAAGGAACAUCUUCUACCCAGAAAGAUCGCCCAGUGGUACACGCGCAUGGAGCAAGCAACACCAUCUUCAUGAUAAUUACUUCUAUAAAUGUUCCUAGACUACCCGGCCAACCAGGCCAUCUGAAAGGGGCAACCUUCGUAGAUCGUUGGAUCAGCUCUGAACAGUGAAAAUCUCCUCCCACUUUUCACUUCAGCCGUUGGAUGAAGUAAAAACCUUUCCCACUCGUUUAGCUUCUAAAAGCUUCCAUGACGCCUGGGACCAGCUAUGUGCGGGGCCCGACGGCGAGAGGCAGAGACGCCCGAUUGUUCGGUCGCGUUCUUUUUCCUCUCCGCAUGCCAGGGGUGAAACCCUAGAUCGCUGCUCCAAUCGCCGGCCAUAGUGUCGUCUGGAUGCGGCAGCGUCUGGGCGUCUCUCUCUCCCUCCCCAAUCCCGUCUCUCCUCCUCCGCCCCUCUCUCCCCGCCCCAGCCGCAUGUGAGUCCGGAGAGGGCACUCCCAGGCCGGAGGAGGGUGGAGGCGAACGGAUGGAGCGGGAUGGAUGACCACGACGGGGACGGCCGGGGUCGUGGGCUGCAGGAGCAAGCAUGGAGGGCGGCGGCGCGCCGGCUUGAGAAGGUCAUCCACAGGGGGCUGGGCUCGAGAUCUUCUUCUCUGGUUCGUUAUCUACUCCGCCAUUAACAGUUGCUAGACGAGACAGAUAAGAGCUGCAGAUCUCGUCAAAAAAUUGGUUGUUCCCUUCUUCUUCCAUGCUGAUUCAGGGCUCUAGGCGUGGAGUUCAGGGAUGGAGCGUCGGCCGUCCCCCGUCGACCGGGUCGGCGGCAGAGUAGGCGCUUACGCGUGCCAUCGAUUUCGUCCAGCGGCGGAGAGAGGAAGCAAACGAGCGGCGACGGCUGGUGCGCGCGCCCUCGAUUUCAUCCUCGGCACAGGCCUGAGCCGCCGCUGCUCUUCUCCCUGUCCGACUCCCUGUGACCGCCGGCCGUGGCUUGGGUCGCCGCAGACUCUCACUUGGACGGUGGACCCCGACCACGGAGCUUGCUCCUGGAUGGGAUUGAGCUGCGCAAGGCUGGUAGCAGGAUCCGGAGCCGCGCGGGACACCAGGGAGUCGCGCGACGCGUAAGGUGUCUUCAGGAUCGAUGAUUCAUCUACCGCAAGAAAAUACGCAGAUCGGUGCUUCGGUGGUGCUUCAGACAAGAUGACAUGAAAAGUCCUACUAAUCAGAGUUCAGAUAUUUUUUAAUCCCUCUAUGCAUGCUCUGGUGCGUGGUUCUCAUCGAAUCUUCAGGUUUCCAUCUACUUGCAGGCAAACAAAUUGGCAGAACUGCAGAAGCAGCUAAAUUGGUCGGAUCUAAAAAAAAAGACUUCUUCCUUGGGUUUUACUUUGGACAUAUUGCAGGUGUGAAAAAAUUAUUUUGUAUUGCAUUGGGUGUAUAUGCUGACUCCAACUCAAAUCUGUAAUCUCAAGGAUGAAUAGAGAUGCAGUGAGAGAAAAAGUUCGUUUUGAUUUCAGAAUAGAAGUCAGAGCUACCGGGCCUGGAGAAAUUCGCCGCGGUGCGCCAAGACCACCUUCGUCUCCGUCUACUUCUCAAACCUCAUCCGGAAGGUAGUUUUCAGUAGAAAGUUCAAAGGAGUGUGCAAAUUCUCCAAUAAUUUUAUGGUUUCAAUCUCAAGUCAUUCCAUCAUUUUACAUCAAGUUCCUGUAGGACACGUUGGGGUAGGAGGUGCUCUUUUGAAAACCAACACUGCAGAACUUGGAGCUGCCGGGCCUAGAGAAAUUCACUGCGUUGAGCCAAGACCACCCGCAUCUCCAUCAAUCUGUCCAGUGGCAAAGUCACGCCAACCUCAUCCAGAAGCUUGGUCAAAAGAAGAAAGUGCAAACGGUGGCUUAUGAUUUCUACCUCGAUGCAUGCCCCGGUAGGCAAAACGACAUGAAAAUAUAAGCUCAAGAGCUCUUACCAGACCAAUAUCUCUAUGCGUUGGACAUUGUCUACUAACAGUAUGUGAAGAUAGCGAGGAUUGCUACCGGAGCAUGGCCGCUUGCGCUGGUUAACGAAUGAGCACAGAUGUGACAGUUAAUAGAAAAUCCGUGUUGCCCGAGACCAAGCUCAAGGACGGGGAUAGAGUUGAAGUGAGGUUUUCUCUGCAUAUUAGCCGGAGUAAUUUAUCAGGUUGGCUACCACCUCCUAAAUUUGUAAAUAAUGAAACCAUCUGGUAGUAAUUUGUGCUGCAAAUAUAAGUUUUCAUGCAAUAAAUUCAAGUUUGAAUUGCA